Molecule: ribosomal RNA, 408 nt
Filed under: uncultured bacterium
Lineage: Bacteria
Description: partial 16S ribosomal RNA
Rfam family: Bacterial small subunit ribosomal RNA
Source: RNAcentral
GACGAACGCUGGCGGCGUGCUUAACACAUGCAAGUCGAACGAAGUGGCGGACGGGUGAGUAACGCGUAAUCAACCUGCCCUUCAGAGGGGGACAACAGUUGGAAACGACUGCUAAUCCCGCAUAGUGAAGGAGGGGAUUGCGUCGGAUUAGCUCGUUGGAGGGGUAACGGCCCACCAAGGCGAUGAUCAGUAGCCGGGCUGAGAGGAUGAACGGCCACAAUGGGACUGAGAAACGGCCCAGACUCCUACGGGAGGCAGCAGUUGGGAAUCUUUCGCCAUGGACGAAAGUCUGACGGAGCAACGCCGCGUGAGUGAGGACGGCCUUCGGGUUGUAAAGCUCUGUUAAUCGGGACGCGUUACCGGAAUAGAAAGCCACGGCUAACUACGUGCCAGCAGCCGCGGUAAUUC